Molecule: long non-coding RNA, 1545 nt
Organism: Gasterosteus aculeatus aculeatus (three-spined stickleback)
Lineage: Eukaryota; Metazoa; Chordata; Actinopteri; Perciformes; Gasterosteidae
Source: Ensembl
UUGGAGCGCUGAUGAUUUACAUCAGAUCUACAUCUACAAGGUUAUUCAGUGCGCCAGAUGGCGAUUUAAUGCUGUAGUUUAAACUGAGCCGGGGUUGAAAGCAUAAGACGUGGCUACUUUUCAUCAGGCAGGCUAAAAGGACCAGUAUCAACACCGGACAAAAACUACUGACGUAGCGAGGAGAGAGGGGGCACACAGGAAAAACUCCCCCAGUGGAAUGAGAAAUGACAGUGAGGGUCAGGCUGAGUUCAUGUGCGUACCUCAAAGGAGCCGGGCAGGGUGCAGCAGCAGGGCAGCGGUCCUCACACUGGGAAGCAGGGUUUAAAGGAGGGGAGGCGGGGGCUGGGAGAGGAGCAGGAGGGAUGCAGGGAGAUGCAGGUGGGGUUGGCGGAGCUUCAGGAGUGUGCCUCUCCGGGGGAGUCGGAGGAGGCGUGGGAAAUUCUGUGGUGUCUUGGAGGUGAGGUGGGACGGCGGGCGAGAGGUGGUGUUUCUCUGGGCUCCUCCGGCAGCUCCCUGCUCAGCCUCUUCUCUGGUUCAGGGGGCUCUGUUGACGCCUUGUUUGGUUCCGGGAUCUCUAUUUCAUUAUUUGUAGGUUCUGGUAUCUCUUCCGGGCUUUUUGUUGAUUCAAGGAGCUCAGGUGGCUGUUCUUCUUUUUCUGAGGAAGUUUGUGGCUCCCUUCUUGGUUCUGGGAGCUCUACUAUCUGCUGGGCAGCUGUCAGAAGCUCUACUCUCUUCUCCUCUGGGACCUCUACUCUGGUGCCCUGUGUUGGUUCUGGGAGCUCUACUGUCUGCUGUGGUGCUUUCGGGAGCUCUACUUUCUCCUCCUCCUCUGGGACCUCUACCCUGGUGCCCUGUGUUCCUUCUGGGAGCUCUACUAUCUGCUGGGCAGCUGUCAGGAGCUCUACUCUCUCCUCCUCCUCUGGGACCUCUACUCUGGUGGUGCCCUGGGUUGGUUCUGGGAGCUCUACUGUCUGCUGUGGUGCUUUCGGGAGCUCUACUCUAUCCUCCUCUGGGACCUCUACUCUGGUGCCCUGUGUUGGUUCUGGGAGCUCUACUGUCUGCUGUGGUGCUUUCGGGAGCUCUACCUUCACCGCUUCUUCUAGGAACACUGCCUUUGUGCUCCGAGUUGGUUCUAGGAGCUCUGCGGUCUUCUUUAAAGGUUUAGGAAGAUCCACUGGCUUCUUCAAAAUAUUCAGAGCUGGUGUCUCUGUUGUAUUGUCCGCUGCUCGAUCUGGUGGAUGGAUCUCCUCUUGUCUCCAAGGGGCUGCUGGUUCUUCAGUCGGAGUGAGAAACUCUAAUUGAGGAGACUCCAGAGAUGGGAGGGGUCUGGAAAAACAAUGCAAGAGACAAAGGGGUUGAGAGAUGUUGUUCAGUUUACAGCACAUGAAGGAUUGACUGACAAAUGACAAAUGUGUGCGUUUGUGUGGUUGGGGGGGAUACGUGUGUGCAGAAAUACUGAAGGUACAUGUGUGUUUGUGCAGUUGUUGCAUUGUGGUUACGACUGUGAGAAAAGGAUCAUUCUUGCCCUGGAGAGCAGGGCCGAUG